RNAcentral lists this transfer RNA (82 nucleotides) under Oryza punctata. It matches the Rfam family "tRNA". From Rfam's summary of the family: Transfer RNA (tRNA) molecules are approximately 80 nucleotides in length. Their secondary structure includes four short double-helical elements and three loops (D, anti-codon, and T loops). Lineage: Eukaryota; Viridiplantae; Streptophyta; Magnoliopsida; Poales; Poaceae. The record is from Rfam by way of RNAcentral.
GUCGAUAUGUCCGAGUGGUUAAGUAGACAGACUCGAAAUCUGUUGGGCUUUGCGUGCGCAGGUUCGUAUCCUGCUGUCGACG